CAAUUGCACACAGAAAUACUACAAAUUUUGAAGCAUAUGCAUGUUCCUUCUUAUGCUGGUUUAUUGGCCAUUGACACCUUAUGAUUAAGUUGAGUGUUAGAGAAAAAUAAAUAAAUAAAAACAACUAGUUGCUAAACAAGGCCCAGCAUUCCCUCUGGAACUCCAUCCACCCCAAAGGACAUUCAUCAGCUGAACAGACUCUUACAUAACGCCUUCACCGUGCUGCCCAUGUUGGAUUAUCCCUACAGCAAUCAUUUCAUGGGCAGCAUGCCAGCCUUCCCUGUGAAGGUGGCGUGUGAAACCAUGCUGAAUGGCACUGAUCUUCUGUCGGCAGUCAGAGCUUCUGUUGGCAUUGUGUAUAAUUCCACUGGACAGCUCCCAUGUUAUAACCUCUACAGUCUCUAAGUAGUGUCCCGAUCCCACCGGCUGUGGCCUUGGCUUUGACAGCUAUGCUUGGGAUUACCAGAUCUCACCACCGCAAGCAAUAUCAUAUUUUCCAAUGGUGAUCUUGAUCCUUGGGCUAAUUGAGGGAUCAGGAAGACACUCAGUCCAUCACUGAUUGCAAUCAACAUACCAGAGGGAGCUCAUCGUCUGGAUUUAAAGAAGUCUAACCCUGCUGAUCCUCAGUCUGUGAUUGUGGCUCAGAAGAAGGAAUAUGAAAUCAUUGCUCAGUGGGUGAAGGCAGAAAGAAAGAAGUCAUUAUGAGUUCAUUUUUGUGAACAGUUUAUUUCAACAUUGUAAACUUGUUAAAUAUUGAAUAAAUCAAUUUAUUUUCCACAGAAAUGGACAUUUAAAAAUAUAUAUUCCAGAAAAAAAUACAUUGUACAAACUCACUCUUGUCUAAAUCAUCACUGACAAAUUUCCAAAUUGAAUUGGGGUACUUAGGAGUAAAUAUGAAUAUGUACAGCUGUUACCACAUAUUACUUGUCGUCACUUCUGUUUUAGAAUAUUCUUUGAAAUUCAUGGCACAUCUUUGGUGUCUCUGAAUGAUUCAAAAUCAUGUUGAUUUGUCAAUGUGCAUGAGGCAGCUGAGGAUUUAAGACAUUUGCACAACAAUUGAGAGUGAGGCAUGAAAAGCCCUUCAUUUGAAAUCUGAGAUACACAAGUUCAUUUGACAGUGUAGCUGUCUUUAGUUUCUCACACAAUUACAGAGAAAAAAAUACACCCAGAAAUUGUGUACGGAUAGCAAGUUAAUUUAACACUUCCACAUUGUAUUAUAAAUAAUCACAAAAGUACUUAUCCACAAUAAUCCAACAAAUGGCAGAUAGCUACACAACAGGAACGAGAUGUUUAAAAUAGAUUGAUUUCUCAUAAGAACUUGAUUCUCUGGAUUGAAAAUAGACAACAUUUGUCAUCAUUGCUCUGUAUGUAAAGGCACACGUGGAACAGAACACCUCACCACGGCACGACAACAAGAAACCGGUUAAUGCUCAGCCCUUGAUGAACAUCUACAAUGGUUUUAAUGUACAUACUUACGAAAAAUACAAACCUGGAUAAUAUUUAAUGUAUGAUUCUGCACUGUGCGAUAUAAUGUUAUACCAAGCUUUUCAAAUACAGUGCACAAAAUAAACCUGUGAUCUGUGGAAACAACAGGAAUAUUCUUUGAUGGUCAAAAAAAAAAAAAAAAAAGUAGGUGGCCCAGGCUAUUACCCGACUUUUUUUUCUUUUUUUUUUUACAUUCUAUGCUAUUUAAGACUAGGCCCACAAACUGAUGUGCAAUAAGUAACGAAACAUGUAUAACUAAACAUCCCAUUUUUUCUUGAAAGAAAACAUUUGGAAUUUUGAAGAUUGUUUAAAGUUCUGAGAAAACCAUGCAAAGAAAAGAAAAUACAAUGUUUCAUAUUUUACAAGAUAUUCUACCAAUACCAUAAAGUUCUUCAUAAACACAAAAAUACUACUGACACAAUCACCUCUGAUGUAGGUCCCCUGAAAGAGUGAAAACUGCCAUAAUAUAAACCCUUAUAUUUAUAUAAAACAUUGUGCUUGAUUAAUGCUCCAUUAAAAUACUAAAUUCUGCAAUCACAAAAAAACGGGACUAAAUUGAAUAAAAAUCUGCAACUAAAUACCGUAAUAAAAGAAUAAUUGCUAACGCCAAACUCCACACAAAAACGUACAUUUCUCCUGUUCACAGGAAUGGCAUUAAAGUCCUUCACAGCAAGGUUGGUUUUUAAGCUCAAAACAAAAGAAAUAUUUCAAAUGAUUACACACCCAAAAAAAAAAA
Carassius auratus (goldfish) is the source of this 2221-nucleotide long non-coding RNA. RefSeq lists it as uncharacterized. The record is from RefSeq and is a predicted model, not a curated record. The transcript is spliced from 6 exons. Lineage: Eukaryota; Metazoa; Chordata; Actinopteri; Cypriniformes; Cyprinidae.